AGCGAACGCUGGCGGCGUGCUUAACACAUGCAAGUCGAACGCGCAGCAUUCUGUAGCAAUACAGGGUGUGGGCGCGUGGCGAACGGGUGCGUAACACGUGGAUAACCUUCCUUCAGGUGGGGAAUAACCCAGUGAAAAUUGGGCUAAUACCGCAUAACAUUACGGGGGCACAUGCUCUUGUAUUCAAAGGCGCAAGUCGCCGGAAGAGGGAUCCGCGGCCGAUUAGCUUGUUGGCGAGGUAAUGGCUCACCAAGGCAUUGAUCGGUAGCCGGACUGAGAGGUUGGCCGGCCACACUGGAACUGAGACACGGUCCAGAUUCCUACGGGAGGCAGCAGUGGGGAAUCUUGCGCAAUGGACGAAAGUCUGACGCAGCAACGCCGCGUGGGGGAUGAAGCUUCUCGGAGUGUAAACCCCUUUCGACCCGGACGAAUGCCCGCAAGGGUUUGACGGUACGGGUAUAAGAAGCCCCGGCUAACUACGUGCCAGCAGCCGCGGUAAAACGUAGGGGGCCAGCGUUGCUCGGAAUUACUGGGCGUAAAGGGUCCGUAGGCGGUGUGACAAGUCGGUAGUGAAAUCUCUGGGCUUAACCCAGAGGCUGCUGCCGAAACUGUUGUGCUAGAGUGUGAGAGAGGCGAGUGGAAUUACGGGUGUAGCGGUGAAAUGCGUAGAUAUCCGUAGGAACAUCCGAGGCGAAAGCGGCUCGCUGGAUCACAACUGACGCUGAGGGACGAAAGCUAGGGGAGCAAACAGGAUUAGAUACCCUGGUGGUCCUAGCCCUAAACCAUCAGGACUUGGGGUUUGCCCUGUACGGGGCAAGUCCCGUAGCUAAUCGCGUUAAGUCCUGCGCCUGGGGAGUACGGUCGCAAGGCUG
RNAcentral lists this ribosomal RNA (872 nucleotides) under uncultured bacterium. Its description in RNAcentral is "bacterial SSU rRNA". It matches the Rfam family "Bacterial small subunit ribosomal RNA", at positions 28 to 896 of the family's 1533-position model. The record is from RNAcentral.